GACGAACGCUGGCGGCGUGCUUAACACAUGCAAGUCGAACGGAAAGGCCCUGCUUUUGUGGGGUGCUCGAGUGGCGAACGGGUGAGUAACACGUGAGUAACCUGCCCUUGACUUUGGGAUAACUUCAGGAAACUGGGGCUAAUACCGGAUAGGAGCUCCUGCUGCAUGGUGGGGGUUGGAAAGUUUCGGCGGUUGGGGAUGGACUCGCGGCUUAUCAGCUUGUUGGUGGGGUAGUGGCUUACCAAGGCUUUGACGGGUAGCCGGCCUGAGAGGGUGACCGGCAACAUUGGGACUGAGAUACGGCCCAGACUCCUACGGGAGGCAGCGGUGGGGACUAUUGCACAAUGGGCGGAAGCCUGAUGCAGCAACGCCGCGUGCGGGAUGACGGCCUUCGGGUUGUAAACCGCUUUCGCCUGUGACGAGGCGUGAGUGACGGUAAGGGGUAAAGAAGCACCGGCUAACUACGU
This 467-nucleotide ribosomal RNA is filed under the name uncultured bacterium. Its description in RNAcentral is "partial 16S ribosomal RNA". It matches the Rfam family "Bacterial small subunit ribosomal RNA", at positions 28 to 506 of the family's 1533-position model. The record is from RNAcentral.